This 332-nucleotide ribosomal RNA is filed under the name uncultured eukaryote. Its description in RNAcentral is "partial 18S ribosomal RNA". It matches the Rfam family "Eukaryotic small subunit ribosomal RNA", at positions 1470 to 1796 of the family's 1831-position model. The record is from RNAcentral.
CUCCUAAAUGUACUGGGCGACACGCGCACUACAAUGACAAAGUGAAUGAGCGAAACCUCUUUUGGUCCUGCCUCGAAAGGGGUGGGAAAACUGAGAAAACUAUGUCGUGCUUGGGAUCGAAGCUUGCAAUUAUUCUUCUUGAACGAGGAAUGCCUAGUAGAUGUGCUUCAUCAAAGCGCAUUGACUACGUCCCUGCCAUUUGUACACACCGCCCGUCGUUGUUACCGAUGCCAGUUGGAUACAGGUUAACGGACCGUGGUGUUUCCUUCGGGAUUCCACAAACGGCGAAGUUACCCCAUAUUUAACUAGUAGAGGAAGCAAAGGUCGUAACA